RNAcentral lists this ribosomal RNA (425 nucleotides) under uncultured bacterium. Its description in RNAcentral is "partial 16S ribosomal RNA". It matches the Rfam family "Bacterial small subunit ribosomal RNA", at positions 354 to 796 of the family's 1533-position model. The record is from RNAcentral.
GUUAGGAAUAUUGGACAAUGGGCGCAAGCCUGAUCCAGCCAUGCCGCGUGAACGAUGAAGGCCUUCGGGUUGUAAAGUUCUUUAGCCGAUGAUUAUAAUGACUGUAGUCGGAAAAUAAGCCCCGGCUAACUUCGUGCCAGCAGCCGCGGUAAUACGAAGGGGGCGAGCGUUAUUCAGAAUCACUGGGCGUAAAGCGUGCGUAGGCGGUCUCGUAAGUUAGGAGUGAAAGCCCAGGGCUCAACCUUGGAAUUGCUCUUAAUACUGCAAGGCUAGAAUCUCGGAGAGGAUAGCGGAAUUUCCAGUGUAGCAGUGAAAUGCGUAGAUAUUGGAAGGAACACCAGUGGCGUAAGCGGCUAUCUGGACGAGUAUUGACGCUGAGGCACGAAAGCGUGGGGAUCAAACAGGAUUAGAAACCCGGGUAGUCC